Molecule: small RNA, 92 nt
Filed under: Salmonella enterica subsp. enterica serovar Infantis
Lineage: Bacteria; Pseudomonadati; Pseudomonadota; Gammaproteobacteria; Enterobacterales; Enterobacteriaceae
Description: partial RtT sRNA
Rfam family: RtT RNA
About the family: This family represents a bacterial cis-regulatory element known as RtT RNA. The exact function of RtT is unknown although it is thought that it may be involved in changing the cellular response in relation to amino acid starvation.
Source: RNAcentral
UGUAUCUGAAGUCUGACGAGGAUGAGAACCUCCGGGGGCAAGAGGUUCGACCCGAGCGAAGCGAGAGAACGUUGCGUCAGCAACGGCCCGCA